RNAcentral lists this long non-coding RNA (868 nucleotides) under Homo sapiens (human). RNAcentral's name for it is "non-protein coding lnc-NPDC1-4:1". Lineage: Eukaryota; Metazoa; Chordata; Mammalia; Primates; Hominidae. The record is from RNAcentral.
CCCAUGGCCGGGAAGGUGCGGUCACUGCUGCCGCCGCUGCUGCUGGCCGCCGCGGGCCUCGCCGGCCUCCUACUGCUGUGCGUCCCCACCCGCGACGUCCGGGAGCCGCCCGCCCUCAAGUAUGGCAUCGUCCUGGACGCUGGUUCUUCACACACGUCCAUGUUUAUCUACAAGUGGCCGGCAGACAAGGAGAACGACACAGGCAUUGUGGGCCAGCACAGCUCCUGUGAUGUUCCAGGUGGGGGCAUCUCCAGCUAUGCAGACAACCCUUCUGGGGCCAGCCAGAGUCUUGUUGGAUGCCUCGAACAGGCGCUUCAGGAUGUGCCCAAAGAGAGACACGCGGGCACACCCCUCUACCUGGGAGCCACAGCGGGUAUGCGCCUGCUCAAUACGGCUGGGUGGGCCGGUGGUUCCGGCCACGGAAGGGGACACUGGGGGCCAUGGACCUGGGGGGUGCCUCUACCCAGAUCACUUUUGAGACAACCAGUCCAGCUGAGGACAGAGCCAGCGAGGUCCAGCUGCAUCUCUACGGCCAGCACUACCGAGUCUACACCCACAGCUUCCUCUGCUAUGGCCGUGACCAGGUCCUCCAGAGGCUGCUGGCCAGCGCCCUCCAGACCCACGGCUUCCACCCCUGCUGGCCGAGGGGCUUUUCCACCCAAGUGCUGCUCGGGGAUGUGUACCAGUCACCAUGCACCAUGGCCCAGCGGCCCCAGAACUUCAACAGCAGUGCCAGGGUCAGCCUGUCAGGGAGCAGUGACCCCCACCUCUGCCGAGAUCUGGUUUCUGGGCUCUUCAGCUUCUCCUCCUGCCCCUUCUCCCGAUGCUCUUUCAAUGGGGUCUUCCAGCCCCCAGUGGCUGGGAACUU